CCUUCAGCCAUGUAAGGACACAGUGUUCUUCCCCUCUGAAGGUUGAGGCAAUGAAACACCAUCUCGGAAGCGGAAAGUAGCCCUCACCAGAAAACUGAACCUGCUGGUGCCUUGAUCUUGGACUACCUAGCUCCAGAGCUGUGAACACAUUUCUGUUCUUUUAUAUUACCCAGUCUCAAGUAUUUUGUUAUAGCAGCACAUAUGAACUUAAACAGAAUUCAACAAUGUAUAAAAAGAAUUACAUGCUAUGACAAAGUGAGAUUUAUCCCAGGUAUGCAAGGCUGGUUUGACAGGAAAAUCAGUCACUAUAGUCCAUUACAUCAAUAGACUAACUAAGAAAAAUCAUAUCAAUGCAGAAAAAGUAUUUCACUCAAUAGAUGCAGAAAAAGUAUUUCACAAAAUCAAUCAUCCAUUCACCAUAAAAACUCACAGCAAACUAGGAAUAGAGGGGAAUAUCCUCAACUGGAUAAAGAAUAUUUGCAAAAAACCUAUAACCAACAUCAUAAUUAAUGGUGAGAAACUAUAUGCUUUCCCCCUCGGAUCAGAAACAAGAAUGUCUCCUCUCACUACUUCUAGUCAACAUUGCAGGAGGUUCUAGCUAAUACAAUAUGACAAGAAAAGAAAAGGCAUCCAGAUUGGGAAGGACGAAAUAAAACUGUCUUUGUUCACAGAUGACAUAAUUAUUUAUAUAAAGAAAUCCCAAAGAACCAACAAAAAGUGAUCAUAAGAAGGUUGCAGAGACAGCAUCUCACAGUGUUGCCCAGACUGGAGAGCAGUGCACUGCAACCUCUAACUCCUGGGCUCAAGUGAUCCUUCUGCCUCAGCCUCCGGAGUAGCUGGGACUACAGGUGCAUGCCACCAUGCUUGGCAAUAAUCUAUAUAUCUGAUAAUUAUAUAAUUAUAUAGCCACCUCAUCUCUAUUUUUGUUACUAUUUGCAUAAAGUAUCUUUUCCA
RNAcentral lists this long non-coding RNA (954 nucleotides) under Homo sapiens (human). RNAcentral's name for it is "novel transcript". Lineage: Eukaryota; Metazoa; Chordata; Mammalia; Primates; Hominidae. The record is from RNAcentral.